UUACCUCGCGGGCGGGGAAUCGCAGGGGCGGGCCGGCAGGGACGCCGGCCCGAGGUUCGCCGCGACACGACGUCGCGUCGAACCGACCCGUCAGCGAUUGCCCGUUCGCGAGGCUG
Halothiobacillus sp. is the source of this 116-nucleotide regulatory RNA element. The record is from Rfam. NCBI's taxonomy places the organism in Bacteria, Pseudomonadati, Pseudomonadota, Gammaproteobacteria, Chromatiales, Halothiobacillaceae.